Molecule: ribosomal RNA, 331 nt
Filed under: uncultured bacterium
Lineage: Bacteria
Description: bacterial SSU rRNA
Rfam family: Bacterial small subunit ribosomal RNA
Source: RNAcentral
CGUGUAGGCGGGAAUGCAAGUCAGAUGUGAAAUACCGAGGCUUAACUUCGGGGCUGCAUCUGAAACUGCGUUUCUUGAGUGUCGGAGAGGAAAGUGGAAUUCCCAGUGUAGCGGUGAAAUGCGUAGAUAUUGGGAGGAACACCAGUGGCGAAGGCGACUUUCUGGACGAUAACUGACGCUGAGGCGCGAAAGCGUGGGGAGCAAACAGGAUUAGAUACCCUGGUAGUCCACGCCGUAAACGAUGGAUACUAGGUGUGGGAGGUAUCGACCCCUUCGUGCCGCAGUUAACACAAUAAGUAUCCCACCUGGGGAGUACGGCCGCAAGGUUGAA